UGGGGAAUAUUGCACAAUGGAGGGAACUCUGAUGCAGCGACGCCGCGUGAGUGAUGAAGGAAUUCGUUUCGUAAAACUCUGUUCUAUGGGAAGAAAAGGACUGUACCAUAGGAGAAAGCUCCGGCUAAAUACGUGCCAGCAGCCGCGGUAAUACGUAUGGAGCGAGCGUUGUCCGGAAUUAUUGGGCGUAAAGGGUGCGCAGGCGGCUUUACAAGUUGGAUGGGAAAUAUUGUGGGUCAACCACAAACGUGCAUCCAAAACUGCAAAGCUUGAGUUAAGGAGAGGUAAGUGGAAUUCCUGGUGUAGCGGUGGAAUGCGUAGAUAUCAGGAGGAAUACCGGUGGCGAAGGCGACUUACUGGACUUAAACUGACGCUCAGGCACGAAAGCGUGGGGAGCAAACAGG
RNAcentral lists this ribosomal RNA (404 nucleotides) under Fusobacteriota bacterium. RNAcentral describes it as "Fusobacteria bacterium partial 16S ribosomal RNA". It matches the Rfam family "Bacterial small subunit ribosomal RNA", at positions 355 to 776 of the family's 1533-position model. The record is from RNAcentral. Lineage: Bacteria; Fusobacteriati; Fusobacteriota.